GAUGAACGCUGGCGGCAUGCCUAAGACAUGCAAGUCGAACGAAGUGGCCCAUUGACAUAGAAGAGCUUGCUCUUUUAUUGAUUUGGAUUUUCCACUUAGUGGCGAAAGGGUGAGUAACGCGUGGGUAAUCUACCUUAGAGUCUGGAAUAACAGCUGGAGACGGUUGCUAAUACCGGAUUAUAUUUAGGAUGUAAUUUAUCGUUUAUUAAAAGGGGCCUUUAAAGCCCCGCUCUAAGAUGAGCCUGCGUCGCAUUAGCUAGUUGGUGGGGUAAGGGCCUACCAAGGCGACGAUGCGUAGCCGACUCGAGAGGGUGAUCGGCCACACUGGGACUGAGACACGGCCCAGACUCCUACGGGAGACAGCAGUUAGGGAUAUUCGUCAAUGGGGGAAACCCUGAACGAGCAAUGCCGCGUGAGUGAUGACGGUCCUUUGGAUUGUAAAACUCUGUUGUUAGGAAAGAAUAGCUAAUAAAGGAAAUGUUAUUAGUUUGACGGUACCUUUCAAGAAAGCGCCGGCUAACUACGUGCCAGCAGCCGCGGUAAUACGUAGGGCGCAAGCGUUAUCCGGAUUUAUUGGGUGUAAAGCGUGUGUAGGCGGUUUUGUAAGUCUAGGGUCUAAGGCUGGAGCUUAACUCCAGUUCGCCUUAGAAACUGCAUAACUUGAGUUUGGUAGAGGUAAACGGAAUUUCUAGUGUAGUGGUGAAAUACGUAGAUAUUAGAAGGAACACCAGUGGCGAAGGCGGUUUACUGGGCCAAUACUGACGCUGAUGCACGAAAGCGUGGGUAGCAAAUAGGAUUAGAUACCCUAGUAGUCCACGCCGUAAACGAUGGAUACUAAG
RNAcentral lists this ribosomal RNA (839 nucleotides) under uncultured bacterium. RNAcentral describes it as "bacterial SSU rRNA". It matches the Rfam family "Bacterial small subunit ribosomal RNA", at positions 28 to 820 of the family's 1533-position model. The record is from RNAcentral.